This 83-nucleotide small RNA is filed under the name Marmota monax (woodchuck). Lineage: Eukaryota; Metazoa; Chordata; Mammalia; Rodentia; Sciuridae. The record is from RNAcentral.
GCUGGGCGUGGCGGCGCGCACCUGUCAUCCCAGCAGCUCAGGAGGCUGAGGCAGGAGGAUCACAAGUUCAAAGCCAGCCUCAG